CAUCAGUCAGUCAGUCAUCUCAGCAAAUAAUUCCAGUUGUCUACUGGCUUUCUGGAAACAUGACUGGGGACUGUUGAUGCCUUUGACAGUUGAUUCAAGCAGCAGGACCUUUCACAACAGCCUCCUGUUUUUGUGGAUGGGGAAUAGGCAAGGGUUGGGAAGCGGGAAUUCGCCGCUCUUUCUUGUCAUUCUCUUCAUAGCCCCCAAGCUACUGUGGUCUAUUGUUUUGAUAGUUGCUUUCCCGAAAUGUUAACAGGAUGGAGAGUAAAGGAGGUAAAGGAGGACUCUGAUGCCUCAGCCAUGCGCCUGUGUGCCGAUUCCCAUUAAGCCUGCACCAAUUUGAUUUCCAAGACUCCAGUCAAUCCUCAGAGCUCCAGGAGGGGAGGGGCAGCUUUUCCUGGUAGCUGCUGAUCACCAGCAGAGGGAGCCCUAGGACUGCAGGGCCUCUUUCCUUACCGUUGGUGAAGCCCUUCACUGUGGCUUCAAAACUGUGGAAGACCCGGGAUUUGUGGAUCACUUGCCUUUAGAAUAGAAUCAAGAAAUAAAGCUGCAGAAGAAAGAAUCUCCAUGUGAUGAGCCCCAGAGAGGCGAAGCCACUUGAGCUCGUGAGUGACAGUCAGAUGUCAAGCCCUGCUCUUUCUAAAGCGUGCUGCCUUCAGAAAAGAAGAGCCAGAAGGAUGGAAAUUACUUCAGAAAGAUGAAUACCAGCUUUGAAGGAAUAAAAGCUGACGAGGAAUUGAAGGAGUUGAGGCACGAGCUUGAACAGGGUUGCAUGUUUGGCCCUUGAUUGUAAAUGCCCAUUGCUGCACCUGUUCCUGUUACUUGGGGAGUUGCAGCAGAAGGAACAGCGGCCUGGGACUCCAGAGAACUGGGUUCCCUCUCAUCCCUCCAGGGCCACCACUUCUUGUGGGCCCUUGGGCAAGUCACUGUACUUUCUGAGUCUCAGUUUCCCCAUUUGCAGAAUGGAAAUAACUACCCCGGUCUACCAACUUAGAAGAAUUGCUUUGAGGAUCUGAUAAGGUGGUGUGGAUGAUGCUGCCUUGGGGGCUUUACAGUCUGGAGCUCAAGGGACCCCUUAAGUUGGGCUUACUUAGUAACUCCAGGGGUGGGCAGAACAGGACUCCAAUGAGGGUUUUUUUCUUUUUCCCUUUUUUUUCUUUUCCUAUCUCUUAACUUUUAUCUUUAUUAUUUUACAAUGCCCUUGUAAGAUGAAACAAGUGAUGCUGAAAUAUCUUUUUCUUUUUUAACCUUUAUUUUAGAAUUGGGGUACAUGUGCAGGUUUGUUACAUAGGUACAGUGUGGGCUGCUGAGGUUUGGGAGUACGAAUGAAUUAGUCACCCCAGUGGUGAGCAUAGUGCCCGAUAAGUGGUUUUUUCAACCCUUACUCCCAUCCCUCUCCAUUCUUGUGUUCCCCAGUGUCUGCUGUUCCCAUUUUUAUGACCAUGUGUACUCAAUGUUUAGCUCCCACUUAGAAGUAAGAACAUGCCCAGCACUUUGGGAGGCCGAGGUGGGUGGAUCAUGAGGUCAAGAGAUCGAGACCAUCUUGGCUAACAAAGUGAAACCCUGUCUCUACUAAAAACAUAAAAAAUUGGCCGGGUGUGGUGGUGGGCACCUGUAGUCCUAGCUACUCGGGAGGCUGAGACAGGAGAAUCGCCUGAACCGGGGAGGUGGAGGUUGCAGUGAGCUGAGAUUGUACCACUGCACUCCAGCCU
RNAcentral lists this long non-coding RNA (1712 nucleotides) under Homo sapiens (human). RNAcentral describes it as "HSALNT0401172". The record is from RNAcentral. Lineage: Eukaryota; Metazoa; Chordata; Mammalia; Primates; Hominidae.